Non-coding RNA from Magnetococcus sp., 172 nucleotides. NCBI's taxonomy places the organism in Bacteria, Pseudomonadati, Pseudomonadota, Magnetococcia, Magnetococcales, Magnetococcaceae. The record is from Rfam.
UUUACCGUGAGGUAAAAUCUGAAGGAAACCGAAGGCAAAGCGCUGAUCCGACGAACAGGAAUCGCAUACGAGGCGGUCAUGCUGGAUGAGGAGGCGACUAUCUCUAAAGUCCGAAACCUGUACGGAGAGCAUGGACGUAUAUGCGGCGGAUAUAAGCGUGAAGGUGCGUGUG